UUAAAUUAACAACUUUAGUUUCAUUGGGCCUCUAAGCUAAAACAAGAACGAGCGACUCGCACACAAGUUAGAGUCUUUUUGACCCGUCCUGAAACACGGACCAAGGAGUCUAACAUGUGUGCGAGUCACUCGGUCUUGUUUAGGCCAGAGAGGCGCAAUGAAAGUAAAGUUUGUUAAGUUACGAUCCCCAUGCGGUCACUCCCUGGUGGGUGACGGUGGGGCGCAGUAACGGCCCGCCAAUUUCGCCUAUUGACGAUCUGGCGGAGUCGUAGCAUACACGUUGGUACCCGAAAGAUGGUGAACUAUGCCUGGGCAAGACGAAGCCAGAGGAAACUCUGGUGGAGGUCUGUAGCGAUUCUGACGUGCAAAUCGAUCGUCAGACCUGGGUAUAGGGGCGAAAGACUAAUCGAACCAUCUAGUAGCUGGUUCCCUCUGAAGUUUCCCUCAGGAUAGCAGACACGCGGUGAGAUUCAGUCUCAUCCGGUAAAGCUAAUGAUUAGAGGCAUUGGGGUCGAAACGACCUCAACCUAUUCUCAAACUUUAAAUGGGUGAGAAGUAUGACUUGUUUGAUUAAAGCCAUACUCUCGGAUGUAUGCGUGCCUAGUGGGCCAUUUUUGGUAAGCAGAACUGGCGCUGUGGGA
RNAcentral lists this ribosomal RNA (641 nucleotides) under Punctoribates zachvatkini. RNAcentral's name for it is "partial large subunit ribosomal RNA". It matches the Rfam family "Eukaryotic large subunit ribosomal RNA", at positions 566 to 1163 of the family's 3401-position model. Lineage: Eukaryota; Metazoa; Arthropoda; Arachnida; Sarcoptiformes; Punctoribatidae. The record is from RNAcentral.